GACGAACGCUGGCGGCGUGCUUAACACAUGCAAGUCGAACGGAAAGGCCCUGCUUUUGUGGUGCUCGAGUGGCGAACGGGUGAGUAACACGUGAGUAACCUGCCCUUGACUUUGGGAUAACUUCAGGAAACUGGGGCUAAUACCGGAUAGGAGCUCCUGCUGCAUGGUGGGGGUUGGAAAGUUUCGGCGGUUGGGGAUGGACUCGCGGCUUAUCAGCUUGUUGGUGGGGUAGUGGCUUACCAAGGCUUUGACGGGUAGCCGGCCUGAGAGGGUGACCGGCCACAUUGGGACUGAGAUACGGCCCAGACUCCUACGGGAGGCAGCAGUGGGGAAUAUUGCACAAUGGGCGGAAGCCUGAUGCAGCAACGCCGCGUGCGGGAUGACGGCCUUCGGGUUGUAAACCGCUUUCGCCUGUGACGAAGCGUGAGUGACGGUAAUGGGUAAAGAAGCACCGGCUAACUACGUG
RNAcentral lists this ribosomal RNA (466 nucleotides) under uncultured bacterium. Its description in RNAcentral is "partial 16S ribosomal RNA". It matches the Rfam family "Bacterial small subunit ribosomal RNA", at positions 28 to 507 of the family's 1533-position model. The record is from RNAcentral.